Molecule: long non-coding RNA, 574 nt
Organism: Gallus gallus (chicken)
Lineage: Eukaryota; Metazoa; Chordata; Aves; Galliformes; Phasianidae
Source: Ensembl
AAAAGGGGGGCCAGUGCUGACCUGUCUUCUUGUUGUUCUGCAAACCGUACAGCAGGCAGAUAGGGCACGAACUGAUUGCAAUCUCUGCCUUCAAACCUUCAGUGAUGAACAACAGCUGAGCAAUUUCAGAAUGUUGUGUUUUGGGGUUCAUCUCCCCAUCUAACAAAACGCUAAUCCUCAAAUGACUUCAAUUUCCACUUCCAAAGUGUUCUGAAGAAAUCUCGUGCUGUCUGGUGCAACGCUUUGGUCUUUGAGCUGCACAGAGGUGGUCUGAUCCCUAUCUCACUGGGAACUGGGAAACAAUGUCACCUAAGUCAACAUUCCAGCUCAUCUUUAGGGGUGGAAACCUUGAAGCUUUUCAGACACAAUCAUUCUUCACAUCCCUCCUUGAUAAAAUUCUCAGCAGUCAGCACAGAUUUAAGAAGAAAAAAAAAAGACACUGCCUGUCCUGUUUCUCAACAUUUGGAAAGUUUUAAGGAGUACUGCAGGUGAGAGUAUGGUCACAAAUGUAUUUUAUUUUUCAUAAUUUCUCUCCAGAUUUUAGAAUGAAAAAUGUUAACGUCUGUUCUAACAU